RNAcentral lists this ribosomal RNA (451 nucleotides) under uncultured bacterium. RNAcentral's name for it is "partial 16S ribosomal RNA". It matches the Rfam family "Bacterial small subunit ribosomal RNA", at positions 29 to 523 of the family's 1533-position model. The record is from RNAcentral.
AGCGAACGCUGGCGGCAGGCUUAACACAUGCAAGUCGAGCGGGCAUCUUCGGGUGUCAGCGGCGGACGGGUGAGUAACGCGUGGGGACGUGCCUUCUGGUUCGGAAUAACUCAGGGAAACUUGAGCUAAUACCGGAUACGCCCUUUUGGGGAAAGGUUUACUGCCGGAAGAUCGGCCCGCGUCUGAUUAGCUAGUUGGUGGGGUAACGGCCUACCAAGGCGACGAUCAGUAGCUGGUCUGAGAGGAUGAUCAGCCACACGGGGACUGAGGCACGGCCCAGGCUCCUACGGGAGGCAGCAGUGGGGAAUAUUGGACAAUGGGGGCAACCCAGAUCCAGCCAUGCCGCGUGAGUGAUGAAGGCCUUAGGGUUGUAAAGCUCUUUUAUCCGGGACGAUAACGACGGUACCGGAGGAAUAAGCCCCGGCUAACUUCGUGCCAGCAGCCGCCGUAA